This 399-nucleotide ribosomal RNA is filed under the name uncultured bacterium. RNAcentral describes it as "bacterial SSU rRNA". It matches the Rfam family "Bacterial small subunit ribosomal RNA", at positions 356 to 773 of the family's 1533-position model. The record is from RNAcentral.
GGGGAAUAUUGCACAAUGGGCGAAAGCCUGAUGCAGCGACGCCGCGUGAGCGAAGAAGGCCUUCGGGUCGUAAAGCUCUGUCCUAUGGGACGAUAAUGACGGUACCAUAGGAGGAAGCCCCGGCUAGCUACGUGCCAGCAGCCGCGGUAAUACGUAGGGGGCGAGCGUUGUCCGGAAUGACUGGGCGUAAAGGGUACGUAGGCGGCCAGGUAAGUCAGGUGUGAAAGUCUAGGGCUCAACCCUAGAUAGCACUUGAAACUGCUUGGCUUGAGUCGAGGAGAGGAAGGUGGAAUUCCUGGUGUAGCGGUGAAAUGCGUAGAUAUCAGGAGGAAUACCAGUGGCGAAGGCGACCUUCUGGCCUUGGACUGACGCUGAGGUACGAAAGCGUGGGGAGCAAAC